UAGGGAAUCUUCCACAAUGGACGCAAGUCUGAUGGAGCAACGCCGCGUGAGUGAAGAAGGUUUUCGGACCGUAAAGCUCUGUUGUUGGUGAAGAAGGAUAGAGGUAGUAACUGGCCCUUUAUUUGACGGUAAUCAACCAGAAAGUCACGGCUAACUACGUGCCAGCAGCCGCGGUAAUCGUAGGUGGCAAGCGUUGUCCGGAUUUAUUGGGCGUAAAGCGAGCGCAGGCGGAAGAAUAAGUCUGAUGUGAAAGCCCCUCGGCUUAACCGAGGAAUUGCAUC
This 281-nucleotide ribosomal RNA is filed under the name uncultured bacterium. RNAcentral's name for it is "partial 16S ribosomal RNA". It matches the Rfam family "Bacterial small subunit ribosomal RNA", at positions 355 to 627 of the family's 1533-position model. The record is from RNAcentral.